CAGAGGCCUCAAGCGUUAGGCGGAAUCACUGGGCUUAAAGCGUGUGUAGGCGGAUCGUUAAGUACCUUGUGAAAUCCCACGGCUCACCCGUGGAACUGCUGGGUAUACUGGCGAUCUUGGGCCAACUAGGGGCAGCUGGAACAAGCGGUGGAGCGGUGAAAUGCGUAGAUAUCGCUUGGAACGCCGAAGGUGAAAACAGGCUGCUGGGGUUGUGCCGACGCUGAGACACGAAAGCCAGGGGAGCAAACGGGAUUAGAUACCCCGGUAGUCCUGGCCCUAAACGAUGUCCACUAGAUUGCGGUCCCUUUGACGGGGAUCGCGGUCGAAGCAAAAGUGUUAAGUGGACCGCCUGGGAAGUACGGUCGCAAGGCUA
Molecule: ribosomal RNA, 373 nt
Filed under: uncultured organism
Description: bacterial SSU rRNA
Rfam family: Bacterial small subunit ribosomal RNA
Source: RNAcentral